UGGCGGACGGGUGAGUAAUGUCUGGGAAACUGCCUGAUGGAGGGGGAUAACUACUGGAAACGGUAGCUAAUACCGCAUAACGUCGCAAGACCAAAGAGGGGGACCCUCGGGCCUCUUGCCAUCGGACGUGCCCAGAUGGGAUUAGCUAGUAGGUGGGGUAACGGCUCACCUAGGCGACGAUCCCUAGCUGGUCUGAGAGGAUGACCAGCCACACUGGAACUGAGACACGGUCCAGACUCCUACGGGAGGCAGCAUG
RNAcentral lists this ribosomal RNA (256 nucleotides) under uncultured bacterium. Its description in RNAcentral is "partial 16S ribosomal RNA". It matches the Rfam family "Bacterial small subunit ribosomal RNA", at positions 96 to 353 of the family's 1533-position model. The record is from RNAcentral.